This 795-nucleotide ribosomal RNA is filed under the name Bacillus inaquosorum. Its description in RNAcentral is "bacterial SSU rRNA". It matches the Rfam family "Bacterial small subunit ribosomal RNA", at positions 55 to 833 of the family's 1533-position model. The record is from RNAcentral. Lineage: Bacteria; Bacillati; Bacillota; Bacilli; Caryophanales; Bacillaceae.
AUGCAGUCGAGCGGACAGAUGGGAGCUUGCUCCCUGAUGUUAGCGGCGGACGGGUGAGUAACACGUGGGUAACCUGCCUGUAAGACUGGGAUAACUCCGGGAAACCGGGGCUAAUACCGGAUGCUUGUUUGAACCGCAUGGUUCAAACAUAAAAGGUGGCUUCGGCUACCACUUACAGAUGGACCCGCGGCGCAUUAGCUAGUUGGUGAGGUAACGGCUCACCAAGGCAACGAUGCGUAGCCGACCUGAGAGGGUGAUCGGCCACACUGGGACUGAGACACGGCCCAGACUCCUACGGGAGGCAGCAGUAGGGAAUCUUCCGCAAUGGACGAAAGUCUGACGGAGCAACGCCGCGUGAGUGAUGAAGGUUUUCGGAUCGUAAAGCUCUGUUGUUAGGGAAGAACAAGUACCGUUCGAAUAGGGCGGUACCUUGACGGUACCUAACCAGAAAGCCACGGCUAACUACGUGCCAGCAGCCGCGGUAAUACGUAGGUGGCAAGCGUUGUCCGGAAUUAUUGGGCGUAAAGGGCUCGCAGGCGGUUUCUUAAGUCUGAUGUGAAAGCCCCCGGCUCAACCGGGGAGGGUCAUUGGAAACUGGGGAACUUGAGUGCAGAAGAGGAGAGUGGAAUUCCACGUGUAGCGGUGAAAUGCGUAGAGAUGUGGAGGAACACCAGUGGCGAAGGCGACUCUCUGGUCUGUAACUGACGCUGAGGAGCGAAAGCGUGGGGAGCGAACAGGAUUAGAUACCCUGGUAGUCCACGCCGUAAACGAUGAGUGCUAAGUGUUAGGGGUUUC